UAUAGAAAAUUAAGUAUUUAUCUAUAAUUUGUUAUUAAUAUUUUUAAAUGUAUAGAAAAGUAAAAAGACUUUCAUAGCAAAUGUUCACAUACUCAGCACCUAGAUUCUAUUAAUACUUUACUACACUUGUUUUAUUACAUAACUCUAAACAUUCCUCUUGCUAGCCAUCAAUCCAUUUUAUUUUGGAAGCAUUGGGAAAUAAAUAAGACAUUAGUACAAUUCCUCUAAUUUUUAUAUGCAACUUUCUAUUGAUGGAAAACUUGCAUAUAAUGAAUUUUACAAAUUUUAAGAGAAUGUUUAGUGGGUUUGACAAAUGCAUAGACCUGUGUAGCCCUAAAACCUUCCAAGGUGUAGAACAUUGCCUGAUGGCCCCUUCUAGUCAACUCCUGUUUCCUCCAAAGAUAAUCAUGUUUAAAUUUUUUACCAUAAUUUAAUUUUGUCUGUUCUAGAAUUAAUAUAAAUGGAAUCAUAGAGCAUGCACUUUUUUAAUGUAAAGCUCCUUUCACUUAGUACAAUGAUUUUGAGAUUCAUAUUGGUCAUUGUGUAUAAGUAGUUUAUCUCUUUUUGUUGCUGAGUAGUAUCUCAUUGGGUGAUUUUACUACAUUUUUUUAGCCAUUCUUCUAUUGAUGGAUACCGAGGUUAUUUUUAGUUUUGGGCUAUUAUGAAUGAAGCUGAUAUGAACAUCCUUAAGAAGUCAUUUCUAAAAUGUAUUCAGAAAUUAAAAGAACAAGGCAUAGUUAAGAUACUUUUGAAAAAUAGAGUUUGAGAGUUUGUAUUACAGGAUUUCAAGCCUAGGAUAGACAAAUAGACCAAAGAAAGAUAAUAGAAAGCUGGACACAAUCACACACACACACACACACACACACACACACACACACACGGGAACUUAAUUUAUGACAAAGGUGGCACUAUUAGUAAUCAUAAAAAUAUGUCUACCAUUAGCAGUAUAAUUUGUGCCACUGGCAAUAGUCCUUGGAGUUCAUUGAUAUUAUUGAUUUAUUGAUGUUCUUAGUUUUCAAUCAUCAGUUUUAUGUUUUUCCAUGAAGUUUUGAGUUGAGGUUUUGGUGUAAAAAGUUCACUUUUCUUCAAGGUAGUUGGUAUACAAAGAAUUAUUCUUUAUAAUUUUAGUUUCCCUGAGGCUCUCUCUCUGAAGGCCAGACUCCAAUCAAGAGUCUAUUAAAGUCAAAUACCUACAAAAUAGAAAGCAAUAGUUACUUGUUCUCAAUAUAAAUCUUGUCCCUCUUUGCUGAAUUAAGAGUUCCUUUUGGAUUGGUUUAGGAAAACCAAUUAAAAAAUCCCCCAAUAUUUGCAUUUAAAAAAAGAAAAUACACCAUAAAGAACUAAUGAUUGAUACAUUGUAAGGGUGAUAUACUUUUAAGCACACAGUUUUUCCAAUUAAAACUUGCCAAGAGGAACAAAUUAUCAACUCUUGUUUUGAUACAAUGGGAGAUAUAAUUGUAUACUCAUAUUUUUCAGUCCAAUUUGCAUUUGAUUAAACUUUUCAUUUUGAUUUUCAACACAUAAGAGCUGAUAAAAAAGAUAUAUCCAUGUGAAUAGUAAAUGUUGUAAGAAAUAAAAAAAAUUACCUUGGAAGUAGGCUUCCUAGAGUAUGUUGCUCUUUCAAUGGUAAAAAGUAAAUCACAAGGUGAAAAAUGUUAAUUAUGUCCAGAGAGUGUAAAAUAGAGAUGAGCGUGGAAGUAUUUACAUGUGGCCAUAACAUGGGACAUGAAAUGAAUGUUUGGUUUAUUUUUCCCACUUUCAUCAUCCAUGGCCUGUGUAGGAACGUGUGAGGAUGUUCUAUAUUAGCAUAUUAUAUCAGGACACUAUAUCAGAAUAGGCAAAGUUAAGGGGAGCCCUACACAAGUGUCAAUCAUUGUCUCCUACUCUAUUCCUAGGUGGGAAGAAACAGAGCCAAUUGUUUUGCUUUGCCAUGAAAAUAAUUAAAUGAAAAGCUUCUUAUUGAAAGAGAGGUAGAAAAGAGUUGAAAAAGAAAGUAGAUAGGAGACAUGUGAGAAAUAUUAGGUCAAUCCACAAAAUUAGGAAUGCACCUAAUAAUCACUUCUGUAAUAUAAGAUGAUUCUUGAUACUAUGAGACUGGCCACUUCCCACUCGUAGUCAGCUAUAUGGCAAACCCUAUGAUAAAUCCAGAAAUUUUUUUUUUAAUCAAGGGGAGUACUACGAUGGUAAGGUGGUUGAUCUAAUGGCUAGCUUAGAGUAGAUACAGAAGUUAUCUAGGUUCGUGAAGAUGUUAGCCUUCUGGUCAAGCAGCUGCCAGUCAAGAUCUCCUAAGCCUCACUCACAUGUCAUAUUACAGAGGAAUCACUGAAUGUCCUGGGCAAUGAAUGAGAGCAAGUGAGAUAGCAGAGACUGAGCUCCUGGGCACCACCUAUGCAUAGCUGAGAUUUGAUGGAAACAUUAGUAGAGAAAGCCAGCGAAGAACCCCAAGACCAGGUGUGGAUCUCCUAUCACCAUGGGCUUGUUUCUUGUUUAUGGAUGAAAAGAAGAGAAAAAAGAAGAGAAGAUGUCCUAUGACACCACCCUUGGUGCUGGAGAUUUAACAACAAACAAAACAGAUGAAAAUGUCUGUCCUUAUGAAGCCUGUAUUCUAAAAGGAAAUUUGAAAAUAUGUGCUGGCAGAUAAUGGUCCGUGAAUAUUUUUACAUUGAUUGUGAUUUACUGAACAAGGAUUACUGACAACCAAGUUUAAAGGUACUCUUGAAAGACAAACAUGCAUUGGACAUUAGAAACUGUCUAUUUCUCUGGGGCGAUUUAAAAUCUUCACUUUCCUGAGGGACUUUCUUCAGAUUGCAAAGAGAUGAAGUAAAGGCACAAAUUUUCUUAUUUUUCUAGAGAUGAUUUGUUUAGAUUCCAAAAACAGAGGCCUUUCUUCCUCUCUUCUCUCUCUCAAUCUCACCAGAGGUAGGUGGGCCAGAUGUCUUAUCCUCCCUGUACAAAUUGCUAGAGUUUGGAGGUUUUUUUUCUUGUGGUGCAAUUCUACUGCACAUGCAGGUUAGAGCAGGCCCUGUCCUUUGAAUCAUUCUUUGGGGAACUGGGGUGUGGAAACUGGUAUUUCGAUGCUAUUCUGACUGGUGUAAUUGCCAUGAAUAAUAAAAGAUUCAAUCUCUCACCUGGAGAUCUGCAGGCAGACUAACAUUUAAGUGGAUAAAAUCUCAGACCUUCACAAUUUCAGGUGCAAUAAUAUGCUCAACAUGAGUCAUUUGUUCAUUAUUUGUUCUGGAUACCCUCAGUCUAGAAAGCUGUUCUCUUUAGCCUAAGUUACUUCCUUGUAUAGGCUUUUGAUGACUCUCUUUCCUCCAUGUUCUCUGUUCUCUCCUUCCGGGAUUUUUACUAGUUAUAUGUUAGAUCAGACUCUACUUUUCUUAUUUUUCUUUGCAAUUUUGCAUAUAUAUAUAUAUAUAUAUAUAUAUGUAUAUAUAUGCAAAUAUAUACAUAAUAUAUAUAUUGGUUUUGCUGUUGGUUUUGCUAUAAUUUCUACAGUAUUACUUGUAUUUAAUGUUCUUAGUGAUACAAAAAACAAGAUUUUUUUUAUUUUGACACAUAUUUUUUUUAAUUUGAGAGAGAGAGAGAGAACUCACAAGUGGGGGAGAGAGGCAGAGAGAGAGAGAGAGAGAGAGACAGAGAGAGAGAGAGACAGAGAAUUUUAAGCAGGCUCCACACUCAGCAUGAAGACCAAUGCAAGGCUUGAUCCCAUGAACCUGGAAUCAUGACCUGAACCAAAAUCAACAGCCUGACGCUUAACUGACUGAGCCACCCGGGCACCCCUUAACUCCUAUUUUAAUUUUAAAGAGGUUUUUUUUAUGUCCUCUUCUUUAACAACUAAUUGUUUCACGAAUAAAAAUAUUUCACCAUGUUUGGAGAUUAUCACUAUCUUUUUAUUCAAGCACUUUUUUUUCCAGGUUUUAUAUUGUUUCUCACUGUCAUUCCUCAGGGACUUGCCAAUUGUUAGGAUACCUGGGCAGGGAAAUCCCAAAUGUGAGCAUGCGUUAGUCUUUUCUCUGGAACCAUUUAGUUGCUGACUGAUGUGGAGUGAUGGAAGAGAGUGGAUGUUGAUGUGUGACUACCAUCAUUCUAAAACUGAGCAGUCCAGGGAAGUUGGAAAUUUUAAUCAUUCAAUGAAAAUAUUUUCAUUUAACCCCACUCUUUUCGGAACUUGCUUUUCCCUGUACUACUCUUUGACUGAGAUCCCUGAGUUUGCACCCUCUAGCUAAGUUUCUUUACAGAAUAAGUCAGGCACUGAGAGUAAAUAGUCAAUUUACUCCAUAUUUAGAAGACAGCCUGGUUGACAUGGGGAAGACAAUAUAGUCUGUUCCUAACAUAGACUUUCUAACGAAUCCUCUGUUUCAGUUGUAUCUCCAUCAUCUCCCUGCUAGUUAUCAGGCACAUCCAAAGCUUGGGGAUUUGGGGGCUUCAACAGAGAAACUCAAUUUGCUUCUUACUAGAAUUUACUCGUUCUGGUCUGUUGUUCGGGUUUUUUUCUCUGCUAAUUUCUUCAUGUUCUUCACCUUUCAAAAUAUUACUCAUCUAUUGUUUUAUCCUCUUAUACUUUUUUGAAGUAGGAUUAGCUUUUUUUCCUCUCAACCUGAGUUUCAUGAGGGAAUAUAUAUAAAAUGUGUGUUCAAUUCCCCGUGUUAAUUUGGAAGUCCAAAUUCACUUUCUGUUUCAAAUUAGACAAGUAUAUGUUUUGUCUAAUACUCUCCUGGGUUCUAUAUUAAGCUUUCUUUCUUAUCUUAGUUUUCAUUCUAGCUAUUAUCUGUUAUAUGCUAAACAUAAGGGAUAAAUUUGAUUAUGAAUACAGUUAAACAAAGUCUAAUUACCUGAUAAUCUGAAUAGUCUAUUCUUUCAUUUAGGCAACAAAUAUUCACUGAGUCCUUAAAAUGUGUUAGUUAACAAAAAGCCAAGGAUUUCUACUCUUAGAGUAUAUACAGUGGGGAAGCCAGGUACUAAACAAUAGGCCUCAUUAUUAGCCAAAUAACUAUUUUAUAUAAUCUAUAAUGUUUUAGCUAUCAUUUAUGUAGUAUGUAAGGCGACGAUACCUUCUAUUGAAAAAUAAAAUGCAGAAGAGGGAAGAAGGUUUAGAAAUGCUAGACAAGGUAGGAGAGGGGCAAGUUGAAGUACAAACUGAUGGUCUGCCUAACCCUUAUUUAGAAGUUAAUAUCUGAGCAAAGACCUCAAGGAGGUAAUGGAAUAAAUCAAAUGGAUAUUUGGUAAAGGAGGGAAUAUGUAAACAAAGAGACUAAAGCAGAAACAUGUCUCCCAACUGAUAUAUUCAAGGAAUAGCUAGGAACCUUGUUGGAGCAGGAUGCAACAAAUACUGCUACUAUUUUAAUAUGCACCAAGGCAUUAUGUAUGUAUCAAUAGAUUUUGAAUUUUUUAAACUGAAGACUUCAGUAGUUCAUUGUAAUAGGGAAUUAAUUUGUCAUUCUUUCUGUUAUUGAAUGCUGAAUGUAACUAAAUAUUUCUAUAUAAAUAUUUAUAUAUAUAUAUAAUAUACAAAUAUUAUUUAUAUAAAAGCUGUAUUAGUAUUAAUUUUUCUGGAUUUUUCUCCCAAGAAUAUAGCAUUAUUUCCUCUCAAGCCUAACCUAUCAUAAAUGCAACUUUUCCUUGGUGAGUCAGGGUCAUCAAUAGUUUUAGUUUUGUAUUUUGUGCUGCAAAUGAGAACUGGAUUUAAUUUUUUUAAUUAAUUAGUUAGUUUAUUGUUUAGUAAUCUCUAACCCAAUGUGGGGCUUGAACUUAUGACCCCAAGAUGAAGAGUUGCCUGCUCUUCUGACUGAGAAAGCCAGGUGCCCCAUCUCUCACUUUUUUACUUUGUUUCUGAAAUAUCUGCCACAUAUUAAAAUCUGCCACACAUUUACAUGAGUAAAAUAUUUCCAUAAAUUUUGAGGAAUGAAAUUAUGAUCAAACCCAAAAUAUCCAAAUAAUUUUUAUUAAGAGAAAUAAAAAUCAGUUGAAUGAGGGGCGCCUGAGUGGCUCAGUCAGUUAAGCCUCCAACUUCAGCUCAGGUCAUGAUCUCAUGGUUGGCGAGUUGGAGCCUUGCAUUGGGCUCUGUGCCCACAACUCAGAGCCUGCAGCCUGCUUCAGAUUUUGUGUCUCCCUCUCUCUCUGCCCUUCCCCCCGCUUGUGCUCUGUCUUUCUCUCUCUGAAAAAUAGACACUAAAAUUUUUUUAAAGCAUUAUAAAAAUCAAUUGAACGAUGAAAACAACUUUUAUAUAAGCAAUAAAUAAGUUGGAAGUUAACAAAUCUAUUGACAAAAUGUAAUAUAAUGAAUAUUUAUGGCAUUUUGACACCAAAGAAGGAUUUGGUGAAGGAGGUGUGUGAGAGAGACUUUCCUUGGAAGGUGACAGAGAAUCAGGUGAGCAAUUUUUAGGCAGGCAACCUCUAUGCCUUGAAGCUUAUGGAUGUCUUAUACUCAAACUGCUCUUAAAACCAGAUGUAUAGAUGUAUAAUGCCAAAACAUCUUUAAGUGAGGGUAGGGUGGGGUAGGGUGAGAAAAGACUAAACACAAGAGUAUUUCAACAUAUAUGGAAGUAGAACCUGGGCCGACCAGAUUGAAGAUUCAUAGAAGAUGCUACCUCUUGAUCCCUAAUGCUGAUAUUAGGCAUAUGAGAAAAACAUUUGGGGCUGACAGAAAUAUGGUGCACAGUUCAAUUUAUUCUUUAUGAUAUUCUCUGGCCAGAAACAGAUGAGUCAAGUCAAAAUUGCCACUUCUUAUAAUUAUUUAAUACAUUCGAGAGCAAAAAAGAACUCACUUUGUGAAAAGUGGUAUAAGGUUUCAAGAUCCAUUUUGGCAAAAGUUUAUAAGCAAACCAUCAUUAAGUGAGUAAGAUGGUUUAAACACUGAAUUGAGUCAGCAGACACUUAGGGCUGGAUCUUCACAUUUGUAUUCAUCUUUCACUGAAUGAGUGAAUGAAUGAAUGAAAACAUACCUACAUACAUACAUAUACAUAAACAUAUACAUAACCAUAUACAUAUAAAUACACAUAUGCAUACCAAAUGAGUUUAAAUGAAACUCUACCCAAAACAAGUUAGUGAAUCAAAGGUUCAGGUACUAUUCUCCUAAACUCUUUUUAUUUUCAUAAAUUAUUGUCAUUUAUAUUGACCUUAUGAGCCCUAAUUAAUUUCCCAGUUAAAUGUACCCUCAAAUCUAAUUUAUUUGUGUUUAUUGGUUAGGAAACAAAUCCUUUUUGUUUUUUAGUUUUUGAUGAUAGCAAUGUAAAAAAUUUUAUAGUUCAAUGUUUAAAACAAAGAAUGUCAAUGAAAGUCAUGAAUGCAUGUUUCUCUCUGAUAUGCAUGAGUCUAUUUGGAUAAGACAUGACUACAAAAGUACAAAGCAUGUACUCUGAUUUUAGAUUCCCUCCUUCAUGUGUGUGAGCUCAACCAAAUUAAGUAGGCUGAAGGAAUAAACUUAUUAAUAGGUAGCAGUGUUUAUUUGCAUAGGUAUGUGCACAUGUGCGAGUGUGUGUAUGUGUGUAUGGGUGCUAUAUUCCGCAUGUUACCUUUUUUUUUUUUUAAUCUUUUCCUGGAUGGGAAUCUCAUGGAUGAUCAAAGGGCAUCAAUUACAGUGACCUCAUUUACUUGACUUCAUUAAAGGGCUUUAGGCCUUCUGUUUCUUUGGUUAUAAAUAUUGGAAAUUGGUUGGUUUCUCUUGAUUCUGGUGAUUUGACAAAACCUUGUACACAAAGGACACUGGAGAGCAAUUGGAGAUAUUUUCUAGCAUCCCAUAUGAGGAGCUUCUUUCCAUUCAUAUUACCCACAAGACAAUCUUAUUAUAGUCUUCUUUCCAAUCAGAUUCAUGAAUCACUUGACAUUUCAAGGGAUAAUUUCAUUAUUGCCACUUAAUAUUUUAUUACUACUAUAUACUGUGUGUUCAAAUUGAAAUGUCUUAAUUCCAGUUAAUGGCAAGAGAAAAUAGGGAAUAGAAUAAAUAUGUAUAAUAAGGUGUACUAUUUGCUUACUAUGAUUAUUUUAUCAUUGUACAAUAUCUUACAUGGUUUACUUCUUCCUUAACUUUAAAGUCUAGUUCUCAAUUAAGCUUAUAUUUCACUGGUCACCAAUUACUAUAUAACUGUUUGACGGAAAUAUAAUAGAAUGUAAAUUGAGUUUUCUAUAUUUCUAGUAGAGGAAAGGAUAUUAUAACAUCUAGAAAUGCCUCAUAAGUAGAGUGAGGGAACACAAAGACAUCCAUAAUUUAUCUUCACAACAAAGUUUCUAUGUCCCAAACAAACUCAGAAGUUAAUAAUAACAUUAGAAUUUGUUAAUAUUGAUGAUUAUCUCAGAAAAGUGUAUAGUUUCCUUUCAAACUUUCAAUGUACUUGAGUCCCCAUUAAGAAGACAGAUUGCCUGGCUUCAAAUUCAUGCUCUAUCUUUCUAACCUGUCAAGUUUGAAAGAGUUUCUUAACUUCUUGAAGAUGCAGUCUCUUUCUCUCUAAAAUAAAUAUAGUGCCUACUGCAUAGAUAAUUUUAGAAUUAAAUGAUAUAAGAAUUGAAAAAUACUUAACAUAGCACAGGCAUAGGACAAUUGUUAUUUGUUGUCACUGUCAUUGCUGCUACCGUUCAUGUUGUUACCACCUUCAGAAGCUCCAGGUAUUAAGAAGAGUUGCCCUUCCUAAAAAUCUCAUGUUUUGUAAAUUCUUUCCUCUUUCUAAUGUAUCAUUUCCAGAAACUGUUUUUGCUUGAUGGAGAUAGUCAAGAGGAAGGUAGAAAGGUUUUAAAUGAUACUUUCCACUAGAAGUGAGAUCUAUUUUAAGGUUUUAAGAAUAUUUGCAAUUAAAAAAAUCUAUUGGAUAAGGAUUAGGAUACUUUUAUAAUUUAUUGUCCCAACUAGGCUCUUUUAAAAAUAAGAAGGGUUAUUAUUAAUUACACAGGAACAACAGACAUAAUUGCACUUCACUUAUGUUAAUAUAUACUUUUAAAAGAUGACACACCAGUGGGAAAUUUAGUAAUGUUCAACCUCAAAGUAUGUUAUGCUAUUACCUAUAAAAGGAUUUAGGAACAACAACAACAACAACAACAAAAACAUGUGCCCCUGUUUAAAUCUGUCUCAUUACAAAGGCAAUAUGAUUUAGGACAUAAUUUUAAAUGCAGCUCCAUGAAAUGCCAUAGACAUUUCCAUGGUUUUAUGAGAGAGAUGAGUACAUCUUUUUGUUUUGUUUUGUUUUUUUGUUUUUUGCUUUUUGUUUUUUGUUUUUUAUUAUUGUCCAGUUAGCUAACAUACAGUGUAGUCUUGGUUUCAGGAGUAGAUUCCUUUGAUUCAUCAGUUACACAAAACACCCAGUGCUCAUCCCAACAAGUGCCCUCCUCAAUGCCCAUCACCCAUAUUCCCCAAACCCCAACACCCCCAUCCCCAUCAACCCUCAGUUUGUUCUCUGUAUUUAAGAGUUUGUACGGUUUGCUUCCCUCUUUGUUAGUAUCUUAUUUCUCCUUCCCUUCCCCUAAGGUCAUCUGUUAAGUUUCUCAAAUUCCACAUAUGAAUGAAAUCAUAUGAUAUCUGUCUUUCUUUGGCUGACUUAUUUCACUUAGCACAAUACCCUCCAGUUCCAUCCAUGUUGUUGCAAAUGGCAAGAUUUCAUUCUGGGAGAACUGGACAGCAACAUGCAGAAGAAUGAAACUGGACCAUUUUCUUACACCAUACACAAAAAUAAAUUCAAAAUGGAUGAAAGACUUAAUGUGAGACAGGAAACCUACAGGAGACAACAGGCAAUAACUUCUUUGACCUCAGCCACAGCAGCUUCUUACUUGACAUGUCUCCAAAGGUAAGGGAAACAAAAGCAAAAAUGAACUACUGGGACCUCAUCAAGCUAAAAAGCUUCUACACAGUGAAAGAAACAAUCAGCAAAACUAAAAGGCAACCAACAGAAUGGGAGAAGAUAUUUGCAAAUGACAUAUCAGAUAAAGGGUUAGUAUCCAAAAUCUACAAAGAACUUAUCAAACUCAACAUUCAAAAAACAAAUAAUCCAGUGAAGAAAUGGGCAAAAGACAUGAAUACACACUUCUCCAGAAAAGAUAUCCAGAUGGCCAACCGACACAUGAAAAAAUGCUCAACAUCACUCAUCAUCAGGGAAAUACAAAUCAAAGCCACAUUGAGAUACCACCUCACACCAGUCAGAGUGGCUAAAAUUAACAACUCAGGAAACAACAGAUGCUGACAAGGAUGUGGAGAAAGGGGAAUCCUCUGGCACUGUUGGUGGGAAUGCAAGCUGGUGCAGCCACUCUGGAAAAUAGUGUGGAGGUUCCUCAAAAAAUUAAAAAUAGAAUUACCUUAUGACCCAAUAACUGCACUGCUAGGAAUUUACCCAGAGGAUAAAGGAGUUGCUGCUGACCCCAAUGUUUAUAGAAACACUAUUAACAAUAGGCAAAUUAUGGAAAGAGACCAAAUGUCCAUCAACUGAUGAAUGUAUAAAGAUGUCAUAUAUAUGCACAAUGGACUACUACUCACCAAUGCAAAAGAAAAGAGUAUAUCUUAAAAUGUUAGAAGUGAGAGGAAGCUUAGAUAAUGUUUAUUGCAGUAUCUCUCUCAUAUUGUAGACGAGGAAGUAGUAACUGAAAUAAAAACUCACCUGAAGUCUUAUUAUUGUUGGAGUCAGUCUUCCAAUCAUGGGCUUCUCUUAGCUACAUCAUGUGUGUCACAAAGGAUGACAGGAACAAAAAUGUAGACCAAAUAAAUGAAGAGGGAACUCCAUAUUUCACACAGAAUCAUUUGUUAUUGAGAGUAGAGAUGGAAAAGUCACAUGAGGUGAGGGUUAAACCAAAACUGUACUCCUAUUUUUCAGAUUUUUUGGGGGAGCAUCAAGUUAUGGAGGAGUUUCAAAAUACGAAAUAAAAUAAACUAAUAGGUAACCAGCUUGAGAAAAAGCCUGAAGUACAACGGAUUGCAAACAGUGGCUUGAGGGAACAGUAUGGUUAAUCUAUAGAAAAUAUUUCAUUCAUAUGUAAGUUUUUAUUAUGUAAAUACUUAUUAUUUAUGCCAUUUCCAUAUUAUAUUUAUACCAUAAAGAUGUUUAUUGAUAUAACAUUUAUAUUUGAGGCAUCCAGUUAUAUUUUAGUUCAUUAAAGAUAAGGACAGAGAUUACCCUAAUGAAAUAGAUUUACUCUACAAUGCAUUACUUUAAAUUAUCAAGUGCAGUGCUAUAAACAUUUAUAGUUCUCUGAAAUCUAAAGUUUUACUACUAUAGGUUAUCAAAUUUGGAAAGGUGAGAUUUCAUGAUAGGUAAAGUAUAUGGACAUUUUACCUUAUAUAUGGACAAGACACCUCCUUUUGGCACAAAGCAAUCUGAAACACAAUUUCGACUUGGAGUUUUUGUUAUUAGUUGCAUUUAACCAAUCCCAACUGUUCAAUACUCAUAGGACAUCAAUUUAGACAUAAAAGUGGAAAAUAAUAUUGCAUGCAUUUAAAUAUGGAAUGAUAGUUAGUCACCUACAGAUGCAUUUGCAGAAGCAAGUCUAUUUGCCUCUUCUUCUCGCUAGGAAUAUGCAUACAUCUUGAUUUUAUAUUCCUAAGUGAUUGAUAAAUAUCUAUACCCUUUUUGAAAACAAUGGAAAAAGAACCAUUUCACAUUCUGAAAAUUACCACAAAGUCUUUUUGUUUCCUCAUUCCCUGUUGCUAAUUAUGAUUGGAAAAGUUUUCUCUGUGUACUAAGAUUUAUGAUGAUUUUAAGAAGUAGAGUGUAGUAAGGUAUAUUAAAAUACUCUAUUAAGAGUAUCUGAAUAUGUUGAUAUUUAUACAUGAAGACAAAAGGAACAAGCAAACAAGAAACUAUGAACAAAAUAAGAGUAGGAAAAUUAGAUAUCCAACAUGGAUUUGUUCCCUCUUCUCCUGUAGCCAAAUUAGAGAUGUGUAAUGAUGCUUUGUUAAAUGAUUCACUGGGAGUUAUUUGUUAUCACCACUCAUUGAGCUACACAAUUGUCCUGCUUUCCUUGGGAGUUGUCUCUCCAAAGGUAGCUGGGUAAGCACAAUGAAACUACAUGUAGGCUAAAAAACAGUAAUUUAUUUAAUGAGGUCCAGGAAAACAAAUCUCUGCAAAUAAGCACUUGAGCAAUUUGGAAUAUUGCAAGUACCUACAAUUUUCAAGAGAUUAAGUCAAAUGUUCUUAACCCAAGUCACGUUAAUUCUUCUAGCUUGUAACAUUGCUUAACAUUAUAAUAUUAUAAAUGAGUGACAAGAGCAAACACUCAAAAUUCCAUAUAUUCAUGUAAGCUUUUUUCCUCUGUUAAGUAAUUGUUUUGGGAGCUAUUAGCAUGCUAAAUUUCUCAAACUAUUUUUAAAACUGUUUUUUGGCAUUUUUUUUUUACCAGAACCUACCAGAAUAUUCUUUUUAUUACAACUAGCUCUGUAUAUUUAAAAGAUAACGUUCACUUUCUGAAAUAGCUAAAAACUCUUACCAAAAUCUACAACCCUCUUCCAAAUCAAAAACAAUGUCUCUGAAGUUAUGAGAUUAAUUUACUUGUAUGGGUCAGAAAUUCUCCUACUACUAGUUGUCCAUGAUUUUACAGUGAUAAUACAAUUGUAAUAAAGGUGAUUGCAGACAUAAAAGGUAAAUUAUGUGGUGGCAUCAGUUUUUUAGUUUGUAAGAAAGUUUCAUGCAAAUUAUUUUAAAAAUAAUCUCAUUAAAUAUAUACAGGUAAAUCACAUAUAAUCACAAAUGACAGUAAUACUUGAUGAUAGCAGAACAAUAAACCUGUACAUUAUCUCAGAAAUUCUAUCAGAUUCUAACUUUGAAACAGCAUGUACAAAUUUUCCUAUUAAGAAAGGGAAGAUGAAAUAAAGAUUUAUGGGUUAGCAUAGCUUUAUUAAUAACACUGAAAAAUGAAAAUAUAAAUGUCCAAAAAUAGAGGAUGGAUAAUUAUGUACUCAUUACAAUGCUUGUGAAACAUAUACAUGCUGUAAGAAAUUGUUAUAAUAAUUGCAAAAAUCAGGAUAUAAACUGAAUGCACAAUAUAAGUGCACCAAUUAUGUAUGCUAGAAUGGAGAGAAGUAGUAACAGCUAUUUAUGUGGUGGCAAAGAGAGGAGAUUGUAGGUGACUUUAGUUUUCUUUAUUUAUACACUUAUCAUGAUAUGUUAUUAACAAUGAACAUGUCCUCCUUGUAUGGCCAGGGGGAGAGAACAUUAGCUGUGAUUUACUUAACGUUUAAAAGGAGAUAAACAAGAGGGUCUGGGUGUAGAUAACUGACUCCAUGAGCUCAAACCUUAUUCUGGUAAACAAUUUGCUUUUGGACUGUGGGAUGUUUGAGAAACGUAACUCAGUAGGGGCAUGUAGGUGGCUUAGCCAGUUAAGCGUCUGACUUCGGCUCAGGUCAUGAUCUCAUGGUCUCUGAGUUAGAGCCCCACGUUGGGUUCUAUGCUGACAGCUCAGAGCCUGGAGCCUGCUUUGGAUUCUGUGUCUCCCUCUGUCUUUCUGCCCCUUCCCCACUCAUGCUCUGUCUCUCUCUGUCUCUCAAAAAUCAAUAAAUGUUUAAGAAAAAUUAAAAAAAAAGAAACAUAGCUCAGUAGACAAAUUCCAUCAAAACUCCUGGAAAAAUUGCAGGUGUUUAAAAUAGACUUUAACCCCUGUAAUGCAUCUCUGUGUAAUUUCUUUAAUUCUUCCCUCUGCUUUCCCAAGCCCACCCCAUCCCAUUGCUUGGGUUGCUUUACAAAGACAACUCACUCUUUGCUGCUUCUCUCCUAAACAAAACUAACUUCAUUUAGUACUACAGUAAAUUAAUUUGUGGAAAAGUCAGUAUUUUUAUUUGGAGUAAAUAAUUCCUACUUAGUGGCAAUGAAUGAUAGAUUUAAACAUUUGAGAUGUGUUUGCUUACUUAAUGAAAAGCCUAUUUAUUUCUGGCCUAAAUAAUCUUUUGUUGAAUCUAUUGAAUCUUUUAUUUCUGUGUGUCCCUGAGAUUGCUGUCCAAUUUCUUUUAUGCUGUUAAAAUUCAUUUCAAGGGGUACCUAGGUGUCUCAGUUUGUUAAGUGUCUGACUCUUGAUAUCAGCUCAGGUCAUGAUCUCAUGGUUCAUGGGUUUAAGUCCUGUAUUAGGCUCUGCUUUGAUUAGUGUGAUGUCUGCUUGGAACUCUCUCCCUCUCUCUCUCUCUGCUCCUCACCAGCUCAUGAGUGCUCUCUCUUUCUUUCUCUCUCUCUCUCAAAAAUAAAUAAGCAUUUCUUUAAAAAAUUCAUUUCUAAAAACUAGGGACAGCUAAGUCAAACCAUCUAGGCCAUAUGGGUGUUUUUACAUAGAUCACUGGUUAAAACAUACAUUCUCUUAUUCCAAAGAGUUUUCACCCAGAUAUUUAAGAAAUUCUUCACAGCAACACCAAAUCAACUAAUGUCUUCCUUCCCACCCUCCCAUUAAAAGCUGAUAUACCCAUUUAUUUUUUAAAGUUGUGUCUACUGAGUGUGAUUUGCCUAGAGUAAAAUUCACCAUUUUUGGACUUUUUUCUGGCCAAGAUGGAGUAACAGGGACAAAAUUUACUUUUUACCUAAAACAACUUAAAAACAAGGGUUGGGGUAGGGGGAACAAUAGUAUUUAGACACUGCUUAUCAGGCAGUGCAGGACUUCAAUCUGUGAGGGAUGAGGGAGGAGAAAUAAAGUAAGUGCUGUUAUUGACCCAAAAUACUGGCUAGAGAGUCCCCACGUCAUAUUGCAGAGAGGGGGAAGCCAGGAGGAGCCUGUCAGCAUUUAUGUGUUGAGGGGAUGGAACAGAAAUAUCCAGAAGGGCACACAGAUAAAUUUUGCAAGGCAGAGAAUUGGAGAGGUGAGAAGAGAGCUCCAGAAAGAGUUCUGAAGACCUUAAGAGACCUCUUUGAGUAUUCAGAUAAAUAGUAUCACCAAAUGCAGGUAAGAACAUAACCCAAUGCCAGGGAAAUAACCACCCAAAAGAAACAGAUGGAACAAUCACCUGGCUCACACAGGACCAGGAAGAGUUCCUGUGCUCACCAUUCUUACCAUAGGGCACUGGAUAGUUCUCAGAGAUACUGCCUAAGAGGCAGAGCAAAACGAACCCUAGAGUAAAACACUUACACUCCAGUCUAAUAAAAUAGAAAAGGAAGCUUAAAAAAUAUCAAACCUAAACACAUUCCAAAAUGAAGCUCAAAGAGAUUAAUAGUAAUCCAAAAACACUCAUUUAUUUAUGUAUUUUAUGUAUGUAUACAUAUAUAUUAUACAUAUAUUAUAUAUAUUAUGUAUUUAUAGGACUAUAAUAGUACUAGAACACCCCAACAAGGUAAAACGUACAAUAUCUGACAAUAAAUCAAAAAGUAUUGGGUUUGAAAAGAAGCAAGAGAUUAUACCCAUAAUGAGAACUAAAACCAUCAAUGAAAACAGACCCAGAAGGACACAUAAAAUAGAGUAAAUAGGCAAAACAUUAACAUAAUUAUGCACUUACAUUUCAUAUAAGAAGAUGAGAAAAGUUUGAGCUGAUUAAGUGGAAACACAGAAAACAUUAUAUAUAUAUAUAUACAUAUAUAUAUAUAGUCAAAUAUAUGUAUAUAUCAUAAUAUGUAUAAUACAUAUGUAUAAAUCACAUUUCAAUUUAAUAAAGAUUAAAAAUAUAAUCCCUGAUAUGAAAUCUAUGUCAUCCUGCCUAGACACUGAAGAAAACAGGUCAAUGAACUUAAAGACACAGAAAAAUACAGAAAAAAAUGCUGAAAAAAGUAGAGCACCAAUGUGUUAUGUAAUAACUUCAAGCACCUGAAUGUAACUAAAUUGGAUUGUGAAAAUAGAAGAAAUAAUGGUAUAAAAUUACUAAAAUUUUAUGAAAACUAUAAUUUCUCAGUGUCAAAUAGCUCAAUGAACUCCAGAUACAGGAAAUAUGAAAAAAAAACACAAUACAAAAACAUAUCAUAAUCAAAUUGCUUAAACCCUGUAAUUAAUACAAAAUCAUAAAAUUAUCCACAGGGAAUAAACAUAAAUUAUAUAUGAAAGAACAAAGAAAAGAAGGAUGACCAUGCUUUAUCAUUGAAAGCAAUACAAAAGACCAUGGGCCAACAUCAGUAAAAAACUGAAAGAAAAAGAAGGAUAACUUAGAAUUCUAUAUAGAGUGAAAGCAUCCUUCAAAAAUGUAGAUGGAAUAAAUGAUUUUACAGACAAAUAAAAGCUGAAAGAAUUGAUCACUAGCUGACAUGCCAUGCAAAAAUUGUGAAGGAUAAUCCUUUAGGGAGAAGAAACAUAAUGUACUUGGAAAUCUGUAUCUAUACAAAGAAGAAUUAACACCAGAAAUCCUGUGGGGAUUUAUUUUCAUAAAGGAUAGCUUGUAAUAUGAUAGUUGACCAUUUAAAUAAAAAUGUUAGCAAAGUAUUUUGAUUAUUUAGCAUACAGAGAAAUAAAAUAUGUAACAACAAUUCUACAGAGGCCAGGAGAAGAAAAAUGAAAAACAAUUUUGUAAGGAUUUUAAACUACAUGUGUAAUCACAAAAAAUUACUUAAGGGUGGACUGUGGUAUGUUUAAAAUAUAUCUUUUUAAAAUCCAAAGCAAUGACUAAACCAUAAAACACAAAUUUAUAGUCAGUCAACCAAUAAAGAAGAUAAAAUGGUAUAAUAGGAAAUAAAAAUAAUAAUCCAAAUAAUAUAAAAAAGGUAGGAUAAGUGAAAUAUGCAACAAAGAAUAUGUGAUACAAACAGAAAACAGCAAGGUGAUAGACUUUAAUUCAACUAUAGCAAUAAUCAUAUUACAUAUAAAUGAUCUAGCCACCCCAAUUUAAAAGCUGAGAUUAUCAGAAUAAAAAAAAACUGCAAUACUUAACUAUGCUGUCAAUAAGAAACAUGUUUUAAAUACAAAGAAUAAGUAAAUUAAGAGUAAAAGGACAUAAAACAGCAUAUAAUGCUAACACUAAUCAAAAGAAGCUGGGAUGGCUAUAACAUCAGACAAAUUAAAUUUCAGACAAAACAGCAUAUUACUACUAAUAGAGUUUUGGUUCAUAAUCAUAAAGGGGUAAAUACAUCAAUUUGGAAUUCUUUAAAAAUUGUAAAAAUUGGGACUCCUGGGUGGCUCAGUUGGUUGAGCGUCCGACUUCGGCUCGGGUCAUGAUCUCGCAGAUGACGAGUUUGAGCCCCGCGUUGGGCUCUGUGCUGACAGUUCAGAUCCUGGAGCCUGCUUCUGAUUCUGUGUCUCCCUCUCUCUCUGCCUCUCCCCCUCCCAUGCUCUGUCUCUUUCUGUCUCAAAAAUAAAGAUAAACAUUAAAAAAAGUUAAAUAAAAAAAUUAUAAAAAUGUGUUACAUAUUAACAGAUAUUCAAAAUAAAAUCAAGAAGAAAUAGACAUAUCCACAAUUAUAGCUAAAGAGUUUAAUAUUCUGUGAAUAAUUAAUAGAAAAAGUAAGGAAAAAAAUCUAUCCAGGUAUAGGGAACACCAACCUACUUACCCUAAUUGAUAUUUGUAGAACAUUCCAUUUAACAACAGGAGAAUGUAUUUUCUUUUCAAUUACACAAAGAAUAUUUACAAAGAUGGACCAUAUUCUGGGGCAUAAAAGGAGUCUAAAUACAUUUAAUAGUAUUCAUUAUAUGAAGUAUGCUCUCUAACCCCAAUGAAAUUAAAUUAGAAUUCCAUAAUAUAAUUAUAUCUGGAAGUUUUCCAAAUAUUUGGAAACUAAAUAGUAUACUUCUAAAUGACAAAGAUAGAAUUAAAAUGAAAAUUAGAAAGUAUUUGUAUUGAAUGAGAACAAUAAUUCAUUAAAUCAAAAUAUGUGGAAAGUUGCUAAAGCAGUACUUUCAGAAACUUAGAGAACAAAAGGUCUAUAUUAUAAAAGAAGAAAAAUCUCAGAUCAUUGACUUCAGGGAUCGAUAGAUGUGAUGUGAUUUAUAAUGAGCAACAUACAUUUGGUCUUCCUCCCAGUUCCUGACAUAGAACAACUAACACUCUCAGAAUUUUUCAAGUGAUAAAAGCCAUAAAGUUGUGAUAUUCAUAACAAACUCCUUUCAAUCUCAGUUUAUGUUAAUAAAGCAACUUUUGGACCCUACCUAAGGGUGGGGGCUAGUUGCCUGGGGCAUCAACUAUGUAAUUGGAGAGUUGUAAUUUUCAAUCCCCUCUAGAGAAGAGAGAGGGGCUGGAGGUUGAAUCAAUUAACAGCGGUCAAUGAUUUAAUCAAUCAUGCCAAUGUAAUGAGGCUUCUAUAAAAACACAAAAGGACUGGGUUCAGAGGGCUUCUGGUUUGGCGAACAUGUAGAAAUUUGGGGAGAGUAUUGUGCUGAGAGAAGGCCUGGAAGCUUCAAGCCCCUUCCCCGUCCUGGCCCUAUGCUUCUCUUCGUGUGGCUAUUCCUGAGUUUUAUUAUUUUAUAAUAAACCAACAACCUAUUAAAUAAAAAGCUUCUUCGAGCUUUGUGAGAUACUCUAGCAAAUUAAUUGAAACCAUGAAGGAGGGUCAUUGGAUCUUCCAAUGCAUAGCCAGUGGUCAGAAGUAGAGUUAACAACCUGGAGUUGCUAUUGGGAUCUCAAGUGUUGGAGGGGGUGGAGGAAGCAACAGUCUUAUAGGACUGAGCCCCUAACCUGUGGGAUCUGAUGCUCUCAGUAGAUAGUGUCAGAAUUUAGUUGAAAAAUAGGACAUCUAGCUUGUGUUGAAGAAUUGAUUGAUGCAGGGAAAGAACCCACACAUUAGAAGUAAGCACAGAACAUAGGGUGUUCUUUUUGUCCUUUCUAUAUUUUAUAAACGUAACUCCACUGUCUGCGGCUUCAUAAGAUAUCUGCUAGACUUUCCCUUAUUUGCCUACAAGGAAUAUCUUCUUUUCUCUAGCUGCCUUCAUAAUUUUAUUUUCAUAGUUGUGUUCUAUUUUGAAUAUGAUGUGUCUGGAUGUGUGCUCUUUGUUUUGAUGCUUCUACUAAAUAUAAUUCUCUGAUGUCCUUCAUUAAUUUUGGGCAAUUCAUGGACAUAAUUCCUUCAAGGAUUAUUUUUGCACUGUUCUUUCUGUUUUCACCUUCUAGGAUUCCAUUUACAUGUAUGUAACACCAUUCAAUGUUUUUCACUGAUUUUUUCUUUCAUUUUGGCAAUUUCUAUUGAAUUACCUUCAACUUCACAAAUUCCCCCCUCACUUGUAUUGAUACUAUUAAUGAACACUUUGAAUAAACUCAUCUCUUUACUGUUUCUUUUGUUUUUGACACCUCUUUGACUCAGUUACCAUCUCUCUGCUGAAAUUGCUAAUCUGAUCAAGCAUGUUGUUGCCAUCAUUUUCACUACAACUUUUAACCUAUAAAUCAGUUAUGGUGAUCAAUGAUGAUGAUGAUGAUGAUGAUGAUGAUGUUGAUGAUGACAGUGAUAUUUAAAUUCUGUCUGUAAUUCUAAUAUCUGGGUUAUCUCUGAGUCUGUUUCUGUUUAUGGAUUUACAUAUUGACAGUGGGUUGUAUUUUAUUGCUUUUUGUGUGUUUCAUAGGAUGGAAUUUUUAAGUGAAUGCCUAAUAUUAUGUAUAGAAUGGCAGAGACUAAGGUAAAGAAUAUUUAUGCCUAUAUGUGGACAUAUGUCUUUUGCUAGGCCAUUUUUGCAGGAGAUUAUGUCAAUCUACUAAGGAGUUAAGCUGGGUUUGAAUGUCUGUGUUGCUAGUUUAUUAAUGCUGAGCAGAUUCAAGUUCCUCUAGCUUUGGAUGACCUAGGAUGAAUGCUAUUUUGCCUGAGAAUUUUUUUUUUUACCGUUGCUUUUAUUUUAUUUUUUAAUAGACAUCCAAAUUAGCUAGCAUAUAGUGCAGCAAUGAUUUCAGGAAUAGAUUCCUUAAUGCCCCUGACCCAUUUAGCCCACCCCACCUCCCACAACCUCUCCAGUAAUCCUCUGUUUUUUCUUCAUACUUAAGAGUCUCUUAUGUUUUGUCCCCCUACCUGUUUUUAUAUUAUAUAUGUUUCCCUUCCAUUAUGUUCAUCUGU
Long non-coding RNA from Acinonyx jubatus (cheetah), 19826 nucleotides. RefSeq lists it as uncharacterized. Lineage: Eukaryota; Metazoa; Chordata; Mammalia; Carnivora; Felidae. The transcript has 4 exons. The record is from RefSeq and is a predicted model, not a curated record.